CGCUUCCCGUCUGCUCAGCGAAGUUAAGCAUCGUCGGGCCCGGUUAGUACUACGGUGGGGGACCACGUUGGAAUCCCGGGUGUUGUUCUCU
RNAcentral lists this ribosomal RNA (91 nucleotides) under Candidatus Scalindua sp. The record is from RNAcentral. Lineage: Bacteria; Pseudomonadati; Planctomycetota; Candidatus Brocadiia; Candidatus Brocadiales; Candidatus Scalinduaceae.